Molecule: ribosomal RNA, 470 nt
Filed under: uncultured bacterium
Lineage: Bacteria
Description: partial 16S ribosomal RNA
Rfam family: Bacterial small subunit ribosomal RNA
Source: RNAcentral
GACGAACGCUGGCGGCGUGCUUAACACAUGCAAGUCGAACGCUGAAGCACCAGCUUGCUGGUGUGGAUGAGUGGCGAACGGGUGAGUAAUACGUGAGUAACCUGCCCUUGCCUUUGGUAUAAGCCCGGGAACCUGGUUCUAAUACUGAAUGCUACAUGUCACCGCAUGUUGUUGUUUGGAAAGGUUUUACUGGUCUUGGAUGGGCUCACGGCCUAUCAGCUUGUUGUUGAGGUAAUGGCUCACCAAGGCGACGACGGGUAGCCGGCCUGAGAGGGUGACCGGCCACACUGGGACUGAGACACGGCCCAGACUCCUACGGGAGGCAGCAGUGGGGAAUAUUGCACAAUGGGCGAAAGCCUGAUGCAGCGACGCCGCGUGAGGGAUGACGGCCUUCGGGUUGUAAACCUCUUUCAGCAGGGAAGAAGCCACAAGUGACAGUACCUGCAGAAGAAGCGCCGGCUAACUACGUG